CUGGUGUAUGUCUUUUCCUUUAACAUCUGAAACGUAAUCAAGAUGGUUAAACUUGCUUGCGUUUUGUUCUCUUGUUUAAAUCAUAUGUAAUGACGGUGCAUUGUGUUAUCUACACAUGGAGUCAGUAGCUUCAUGGUGCUCUUGACGAUUUCUGUUUAACAGGAUUUUCACAUGUUCCACACUGCCUGCAAAGCUGCAGAAUUUUAUAGCUAGACCGCCAUGUAGCUAUUCCCUUGUUAUGAGACAUUACUAUCCAAGUUUGCUAUAUCAGGAAGGUUGUGAUAUUAAAUACAUAAGGAUAUGCAUGUAUACAUACUCAUACAAACACACACACACUCACACACUCACACAUCUGUAAUUCUCUGUUCUUUCUUUGAAAGUUCCCCAAAGAAAUUUGGCAAAAGUCUUGUGGGAGUAGCUGUUCCUUCCCCCUUCCACUUUCCAUUUUAGGGGUUCAGAUCAGCCUCACCCCCAAUCUAGUACAGCCCCAGAACUCAACAGAUACCCUUUAGGGGCAAUAGAUGUUGAGUCCCUCAAUUUUCCUCUGUUCCCCUCCCCAGCAAGGAAUCCUCCUGUCAGGUACAACCCUCACCCUCUGUUCCCCUCACCAGCAAGGACUCCCAGGCGUCAGGUACAGCCCUCCCCUUCUGUUCUCCUCCCCAGCAAAGACUCCCUCCUUUCAGGUACACCCUCACCCUCUGUUCCCCUCCCCAGCAAGGACUCCCACCUGUCAGGUGCAGCCCUCACCCUCUGUUCCCCUCCCCAGCAAGGACUCCCUCCUGUCAGGUACAGCCCUCACCUGUCAGAAUCAGCGCCGUCUCCAGCUCCUCUCAGACGCCUUCUGUCUGGAUGCUGCUGCAGCUCUCCCUUGCUCCUCACUCUCCCAGAAGGCACUGGUGUCUAUCGUCCUCCAGACUGAGGGCGCCGUGAAUGCAGAAAGCCCUGUCUUGCUCUGGAACAGUGGCGGGGGAGGUCACUCUGGUACAGGUGACAUCAGAGAGGCUGUGACUUCACCCUUCUGGGCACCGCAUGCUGGGUGAGCCGGUCUGUGGGGAAUUCCUGCGUCCAUGCAAGCAGACUUGAAUUGAGGAGGCAGCGUCCGCGGGCUGGGAUAACUGGUUUUUUUUCUCAGUUCAGCACUUGCACGUGAGGGUCCUGGCACCGCAGCAGGAGCCUGGGAAGCCUCCUGACAGAGUUUCUGAGCCAGUGAAGUGAGGGCAGGGUAAACACCAGGAUCCUGUCCCAGAGCCUCGGACACGCCUGUCAACACAAGGGCUACUUUCAAAUCCUGGCUGAAUCUCUGUGUCAAUAACACAGCACAGUGACUGUUGGCUGUUCUGCAGCUCGGAGGAUGCGAUCGCACGUGGCUGUCUGUUCACAGGGACGUGAGCGCUGGCGACUCUGGCAGGCUCUGUGAGGCGGGCUUGGGCUCGGAGUCGGGAUGUCAGGCAGUCCUCUGCCGUCUGUGUGGGCCCCGGGAAGCCACUCAAGGAAUCCAGGCAUCAGAUUCCUUUCUUUGCCUGGGUAUUGGGAGUAGCAGGCGCCACCUUUGCCUCGCGGGGCCAUCCUGAAGUUCAGGUGAACGCUUCUUUGAAAGGGGAGCUGGCUCCAAGGAAGCGGACAUCAGUUCAGAGCAGCCACUUACUGGACAACCCCUGGCGGCCGUGGCUAUUAGCUGACCUUCGUGGAGGGGUCCACCCAGCUCGUGUCCCUUCUUGACCUCGGUUAUCGUGACAAGUGACGAACGCUGCGGUGGACAGCCACAGUAACUACCACGGUGAUUCUGUAACUCACCUCUGCUCCAUGCCUCAUUGCAGCCCUCAUCCCCUCCUUGGGCAGGUGCCCGGCUUCUUGGCCUCACAAGUCCAAGUGGACGGAAAAGCACAAAGUAGGGAAGUGACUCUGACCUUUUGUAGGGAGGUGACUCUGACCUUUUGUUUAAGAGUCAGUGCGGGAGGUGAGAUCGACUGCAGAGGAAGGGAGCAGCGAGGCACUGAUGCUGACUCCGUCCCGCGGGCCCACGUCGGACGCAACAGGAAGCAGCAGGCCGUCUGCAGACCAGGACGUCACGUAGACGUAGGAUUGGGUUUGUACACCAAGCACAGUGUCCCUUCUUGGUUUCUACUUUUCGGUGUCUUGGGUUCUGGGUGCCCCCUUUUGAAGACACUAUUUCUUUUUCCCUAAUCUGUGUCUAAAAGAGGUCCCAGUGAUCCUUUCCUCCUGAAAACCCAACACCAAUGUGCUCACUUCUAACACUUUCUUUUAGAAGCAGAGCGAGAGCGAGAGAAAGCGCUCGUCCAUGGUUUCACUCCCCAGAUGCCCAUAACAGCCAGGGCCGUGCCGGGCUGAAGCCAGGGGCCAGGAACUCGCUCCGGGUCCGACGCGAGCGGUGGGAACCCAGCUGCUGGAGCCAUCAGCACGUCCCGCAUUAGCAGCAUCCGGAGUCAGAGCUGGCAACCAAGUUCAGGUUCUCUGCCGUGGAUGUGGACGUCUUAGCCGCUAGGCUAAAUAUUCACUCCUCUUAGACAUUUUUAAUGCUUGUCAGGGUUGUAUUUUACAAAUAGCCAGCUGUACACUUGCCACCAUGUCUGUUAGAUUCGAAUUGGUGUUAAGUGGCUUAGAAGUCUUCUUAUGGUCUGUUUUGAAGAGAAGACAUUUUUUAUUUGAUUUUGUCUGCUUUUUAAAAGAUUUAUUUAUUUAUUUGAAAGUCAGAGUUAUAGAGAGAAGGAGAGACAGAUCCUCCACCCACUGGUUCACUCUCAAGUUGGCUGCAAUGGGCAGGGCUGGACCAGGCCGAAGCCGGGAGCUUCCUCCAGGUUUCCCACAUGGGUAGCAGGGCCCAAGCACUUGGGCCACCUUCCACUGCUUCUCUCAGGCCAUUAGCAGGGAGCUGGAUGGGAAGUGGAGCAGCCAGGACACGAGCCGAUGCCCAUAUAGCAUGCUGGCACUACAGGCGGUGACUUAACCUGCUAUGCAGCUAUGCUGGCCCUGAAUUCACAUGUUUUAAUAAAGUAAAAUAAGUAAUGAUAGCA
Molecule: long non-coding RNA, 3032 nt
Filed under: Oryctolagus cuniculus (rabbit)
Lineage: Eukaryota; Metazoa; Chordata; Mammalia; Lagomorpha; Leporidae
Description: lncRNA (ENSOCUG00000036994.1)
Source: RNAcentral